UACGUAGGGGGCAAGCGUUGUCCGGAUUUACUGGGCGUAAAGCGCGCGUAGGUGGAAGGUCAAGUCCGGCUUGAAAGCCCCCGGCUCAACCGGGGAGAGUGGCUGGAAACUGGCUUUCUUGAGGGCGAGAGAGGAGGGUGGAAUUCCUGGUGUAGCGGUGAAAUGCGUAGAGAUCAGGAGGAACACCCGAGGCGAAGGCGGCCCUCUGGCUCGACCCUGACGCUGAGGCGCGAAAGCGUGGGGAGCAAACAGG
RNAcentral lists this ribosomal RNA (253 nucleotides) under uncultured bacterium. Its description in RNAcentral is "partial 16S ribosomal RNA". It matches the Rfam family "Bacterial small subunit ribosomal RNA", at positions 524 to 776 of the family's 1533-position model. The record is from RNAcentral.